CCUACGGGGGGCUGCAGUGGGGAAUAUUGGACAAUGGGGGGAACCCUGAUCCAGCCAUGCCGCGUGUGUGAAGAAGGCCCUCGGGUUGUAAAGCACUUUCAGUGAGGAAGAACGCCUGGUGGUUAAUACCCAUCAGGAAAGACAUCACUCACAGAAGAAGCACCGGCUAACUCCGUGCCAGCAGCCGCGGUAAUACGGAGGGUGCGAGCGUUAAUCGGAAUUACUGGGCGUAAAGCGCGCGUAGGUGGCUUGAUAAGCCGGUUGUGAAAGCCCCGGGCUCAACCUGGGAACGGCAUCCGGAACUGUCAAGCUAGAGAGCAGGAGAGGAAGGUAGAAUUCCCGGUGUAGCGGUGAAAUGCGUAGAGAUCGGGAGGAAUACCAGUGGCGAAGGCGGCCAUCUGGACUGACACUGACACUGAGGUGCGAAAGCGUGGGUAGCAAACAGGAUUAGAUACCCCAGUAGUC
RNAcentral lists this ribosomal RNA (465 nucleotides) under Vreelandella stevensii. RNAcentral's name for it is "partial 16S ribosomal RNA". It matches the Rfam family "Bacterial small subunit ribosomal RNA", at positions 338 to 795 of the family's 1533-position model. Lineage: Bacteria; Pseudomonadati; Pseudomonadota; Gammaproteobacteria; Oceanospirillales; Halomonadaceae. The record is from RNAcentral.